This is a long non-coding RNA of Hibiscus syriacus, 191 nucleotides long. RefSeq lists it as uncharacterized. NCBI's taxonomy places the organism in Eukaryota, Viridiplantae, Streptophyta, Magnoliopsida, Malvales, Malvaceae. The record is from RefSeq and is a predicted model, not a curated record. The transcript has 2 exons.
CAAGCAAGCCUAAGUGGAUUUGUUGGGCACUUGGUAUCCCAACAGAUACCUUGAAACCUUCAUUAGCACAUUUGUUAUCAAAUUCCUGUCCCCAUUCCAUGGAAUACUUGGCACUUAAUCAAAGACACCUCAAUUCUUCAAGAGCUUUAGAGUUUAUCUCAAAAUUUCUUUCGAAGUUCAGACCCAAAAAA